UACGGAGGGAGCUAGCGUUGUUCGGAAUUACUGGGCGUAAAGCGCACGUAGGCGGCUUUUUAAGUCAGGGUUGAAAUCCCGGGGCUCAACCCCGGAACUGCCCUUGAAACUGGAGAGCUAGAAUCUUGGAGAGGCGAGUGGAAUUCCGAGUGUAGAGGUGAAAUUCGUAGAUAUUCGGAAGAACACCAGUGGCGAAGGCGACUCGCUGGACAAGUAUUGACGCUGAGGUGCGAAAGCGUGGGGAGCAAACAGG
This 253-nucleotide ribosomal RNA is filed under the name uncultured bacterium. RNAcentral's name for it is "partial 16S ribosomal RNA". It matches the Rfam family "Bacterial small subunit ribosomal RNA", at positions 524 to 776 of the family's 1533-position model. The record is from RNAcentral.